GGUUGUGGCUCAGCGGUAAGAGCGCUCGCCUAGCACAUUCGAGGCCCUGGAUUCAAUCCUCAGCACCA
This 68-nucleotide transfer RNA is filed under the name Marmota monax (woodchuck). Its description in RNAcentral is "tRNA.Ala". The record is from RNAcentral. Lineage: Eukaryota; Metazoa; Chordata; Mammalia; Rodentia; Sciuridae.